Molecule: long non-coding RNA, 362 nt
Filed under: Setaria italica (foxtail millet)
Lineage: Eukaryota; Viridiplantae; Streptophyta; Magnoliopsida; Poales; Poaceae
Description: long non-coding RNA (SITA_LNC006529)
Source: RNAcentral
UUCCACAUUACAGUGCAUUGUGUCCUUCAGCAGCUCUCUUGUGCGGAGAAGGUCACACAGUUGGAAGAAGGGUGCUCUUUUCAUUCUAAGGAGGUCAACACACCUAGUGUCAUCAGCUUGAUAAAUGUAACUGAGAUUGUUCUGCCUCUGUUCCUCUCUAGCACUCAUGGGGGCAUAUGUGAUGGGUGGUCUGGUGAGACAACGGCGCCUGAACCUAACAAACAUCCAAGCUGUGACUACAACAACAAGUGAUGCACCCCUCAAAAUCAGCCAUCGGCGUCUUUCAGCACCAUCCAUCCUCUAGAACAAAGCAUCACAUAUAUCAGAAUACUACUAUUUCAUCAGUUGUGCUACAACAUUUG